RNAcentral lists this ribosomal RNA (109 nucleotides) under Serendipita vermifera. Its description in RNAcentral is "partial large subunit ribosomal RNA". Lineage: Eukaryota; Fungi; Basidiomycota; Agaricomycetes; Sebacinales; Serendipitaceae. The record is from RNAcentral.
AGUGUUUUCCGCACCGGACCGUGCACAAGUUCCCUGGAACGGGGCGUCAUAGAGGGUGAGAAUCCCGUAUAUGGCACGGACUACCGGAGCUCUGUGAUACACUCUCAAC